Molecule: small nuclear RNA, 168 nt
Organism: Cricetulus griseus (Chinese hamster)
Lineage: Eukaryota; Metazoa; Chordata; Mammalia; Rodentia; Cricetidae
Gene: U1
Rfam family: U1 spliceosomal RNA
About the family: U1 is a small nuclear RNA (snRNA) component of the spliceosome (involved in pre-mRNA splicing). Its 5' end forms complementary base pairs with the 5' splice junction, thus defining the 5' donor site of an intron.
Source: Ensembl
AUGGUUACAUGGCAGGGGAAAUACCAUGACCAAGAUAAUGUUUUUCCCAGGAUGAGGCUUAUUCAUUGCACUCUGGAUGCUCUCUCUCUGACCCUGUGAUUCUCCAAAUAUAGGAAAAUCAAUUGCAUAGUGUGUGGUAAUAAUAAAAUAGUUUGGACAUUUUUUUAA